RNAcentral lists this ribosomal RNA (484 nucleotides) under uncultured bacterium. RNAcentral describes it as "partial 16S ribosomal RNA". It matches the Rfam family "Bacterial small subunit ribosomal RNA", at positions 30 to 507 of the family's 1533-position model. The record is from RNAcentral.
AUUGAACGCUGGCGGCAGGCCUAACACAUGCAAGUCGAGCGGAUGAAGGGAGCUUGCUCCUGGAUUCAGCGGCGGACGGGUGAGUAAUGCCUAGGAAUCUGCCUGGUAGUGGGGGAUAACGUCCGGAAACGGGCGCUAAUACCGCAUACGUCCUGAGGGAGAAAGUGGGGGAUCUUCGGACCUUACGCUAUCAGAUGAGCCUAGGUCGGAUUAGCUAGUUGGUGGGGUAAAGGCCUACCAAGGCGACGAUCCGUAACUGGUCUGAGAGGCUGAUCAGUCACACUGGAACUGAGACACGGUCCAGACUCCUACGGGAGGCAGCAGUGGGGAAUAUUGGACAAUGGGCGAAAGCCUGAUCCAGCCAUGCCGCGUGUGUGAAGAAGGUCUUCGGAUUGUAAAGCACUUUAAGUUGGGAGGAAGGGCAGUAAGUUAAUACCUUGCUGUUUUGACGUUACCAACAGAAUAAGCACCGGCUAACUUCGUG